CCGAUCUGUCUAUUCCGUGGCAGGCAGGCAGGUUCCGCCCAUGGGUCUGGCUUGCGCUAGGUUGCACCACCCGUUCUCUAGGACGAGGAUGGUAGGAGCACCGCUGAAGAAGAGGCGGGGAUGAAGAAACAACAAUCAGGAGAAGGAGGUCGAGCGAGGGAGGGUACGGUGCCCAGGUGGGAGGUUUUCUCAAACCACAUCGGCGGCGGCUGAAGUUCCCUUGCGGUGAAGGCAGCGGGAAGGGACCUUCUCAAGCUGCAGGACGCUGCAGGACAUGGGAGCUGACGCCUCCUUGCUAGCGAUGUGGACAAAGAGAAGAUCAGUUUGGGCCUCGAAAUUCUCAGGUACGGCCCUGCCUUCAACCAUCUUGUUUUGGUUAUGUUGCCAGUUUAUAGUUCGAUUGAGGCCACUAAAUCAUGAUGUGCCAAGAGGUGCUGACCUAAUUCGAGAUGUUCAGUUGUCGCAAAAGGAUCUAACUGAUGAUGUCUAUGCACUGCUCAUUUUCCCAGUUCCUAGGCAGACCUAAAGAUAGCAAGUUUUUUUGCAGCUUCUUGGUAGUGUUAGAGAAUAUUUUGUACAGAUUAAGACUGCAUAGUACCAUGCUGAGAAAUGAUCUGGGUGGUAAA
Molecule: long non-coding RNA, 626 nt
Organism: Lolium rigidum
Lineage: Eukaryota; Viridiplantae; Streptophyta; Magnoliopsida; Poales; Poaceae
Exons: 2
Source: RefSeq, a predicted model, not a curated record